GCAAGGCUGGCGCCAGAGGUCGUAGGAUUCAUCCCUCCCACGGAUGAGGUCGGGGUUCGAUUCCCCGGCGGCGCACGCCUUAUG
This 84-nucleotide transfer RNA is filed under the name Phytophthora boehmeriae. RNAcentral's name for it is "tRNA-Gly". The record is from RNAcentral. Lineage: Eukaryota; Oomycota; Peronosporomycetes; Peronosporales; Peronosporaceae.